GGCGCUCCCGGCGCGCAACAUGGCUGCGGCCCGGCCCCGGGGCGCCCCUCGCCGCCGGCUUCCCCCAGGGCGGCGGGGACCCGGGUGGGCGCGCCCGCUCGCCGAGAGCGUGGCCGAGUCUGACCCCACUGCGGUCUCUCUGGCUGCAGACGCCUAAGGCGUGAGACCGUUCGCUCCACGGAGGGCCAAGGGACACCAAAAUAACGUCAAAAAAGCUGGGCGCGCGGGCGGCCGCGGUGGGGUGCCCGGGCAGGCCGCUGGGGGCGCGGGCGGGGCCGCUGCGUCGGGGCGCACGUGGGCCGCGCCCCUGCCUUCGGGUUCGGCGGAGAAGGCGCCCCGCGGCCGAGCGCUCGGCGUCGGGGACACGGUGCGGUCUCGUCUGACUUGACUCACCGCGGACUAUGCUAGCUUAACAAAGUGGUUAAUGUGCUAUAAAUACCCAGCAUGAUGGAGGUGAUUUUAGCAUCUUCUUGGAAUGUUGUCUACUCAAACUGUGAGCUCCUUGAAGCCUACAGAUACUCAUCAAGCACCCCGUUCCUGCCAGACACAGCUUCCACGUGGUCUGUUUUUCAGUUCAGCACUGACACAGCAGCUAGAGCUAUGGCUUGGAUCAUGUCACACUCCUGCUCCCAGACCUUCAGGGCUCCAGCUCAAGGCAGGAAGAACUGGGACCUGGAAUGAAGCCAGCUGUGGGGCCAGAGAGGCUGGCUCAGCUGGGCAGAGGACACAGCCAGGCAGCUCCGUGGGACUGAUCAUAGGUGGAAGGUCUUGGAAGGAGUCACCACACUCAGGGAAGAUUCAAGACCUAGAGGUCAGAGGGAGGACUCAGUCCCCAGGGAGGGGCCCGCAAAUGAAUGGAGGGCCCUGCCCAGAAGACCUGACUCCUAGCCUGAGCAGGGCAAGUUGA
Molecule: long non-coding RNA, 907 nt
Filed under: Canis lupus familiaris (dog)
Lineage: Eukaryota; Metazoa; Chordata; Mammalia; Carnivora; Canidae
Description: lncRNA (ENSCAFG00030014825.1)
Source: RNAcentral